AAAUUUUAUAAAUAUACAAUUAUAUGAAAUUUUUUUCAACUGUAACAAUUAUUUAGGUUGGUUAAAAAAACAUUUUUCUUUUUUCAAUGAAAAAUUGUUAAGAGAAGGUAUCCUAUAUAACUUUUUAGAUUUACUAAACAAAAACAACAAACAGUGUUAAAGGAUUUCAAAAAUAACAGAAAACAAAAACAAUUAAUGGUAAAAACUGUUGAGUAAGGCCUUUUAGAGUUUUAGUUCAUAACUCUGUACCACCAUUUGUGAAAAACGGUAGGGAAAAGUGCAAUAUAACAAACUUUAUAUCAUGGGAAAUAUCACAAAAAUCUUUGGAUAUAAAAACUUUGUAUAUAAGGUGCACUAUGCCAUUACACACUGAAUGUUUUUACUUGACAUUCAAUGGUUUAUAAGAAGUAACAGCAAGAUGAACAACUAAAUGGACAAACGAUGAGAAUGAUGAUUGCACACCCCCACAUCAAUACCAGUAGGUGAGAGGAUAUUGAUCAAUAUAUACCCAUCAUCAGUACUUGUAAGUGGGACUAUAAUGACUGAUUUAACACUUUAAUUCAGUGUUUGAUUUAUUCAUUGCACUAGAAAUCAUCACUACUCUAUGUAUGCUACACACAUUUCUACUAAAUGCUAACAACAUUUGAAAAAUCUCACAUAAGAUAGUGUAUAUCACUAAUUAUACAGGGUGAUUACCUUUACAAAACUAUGUUAAUCCAAUAUGUACAAUAUGAUAACCUCUAAAACUGAUAUAAGAAAAAUAUGUACAAACAAAGUCUUUCUUUUGUUUUCUACAAAACUAUCAAUGAAAAAAAUUCUACUAAUAAAAAUAUAACAUAAAAAAUAUAAAUUGUACUAAUAAUGUCAAACAAAAACUUAUCAGAU
RNAcentral lists this long non-coding RNA (885 nucleotides) under Mytilus galloprovincialis (Mediterranean mussel). The record is from RNAcentral. Lineage: Eukaryota; Metazoa; Mollusca; Bivalvia; Mytilida; Mytilidae.